RNAcentral lists this ribosomal RNA (277 nucleotides) under uncultured prokaryote. Its description in RNAcentral is "partial 16S ribosomal RNA". It matches the Rfam family "Bacterial small subunit ribosomal RNA", at positions 524 to 800 of the family's 1533-position model. The record is from RNAcentral.
UACGUAGGGGGCUAGCGUUAUCCGGAAUUACUGGGCGUAAAGGGUGCGUAGGUGGUUUCUUAAGUCAGAGGUGAAAGGCUACGGCUCAACCGUAGUAAGCCUUUGAAACUGGGGAAACUUGAGUGCAGGAGAGGAGAGUGGAAUUCCUAGUGUAGCGCUGAAAUGCGUAGAUAUUAGGAGGAACACCAGUUGCGAAGGCGGCUCUCUGGACUGUAACUGACACUGAGGCACGAAAGCGUGGGGAGCAAACAGGAUUAGAUACCCUGGUAGUCCCUGA